AAAUUGAAGAGUUUGAUCAUGGCUCAGAUUGAACGCUGGCGGCAGGCCUAACACAUGCAAGUCGAACGGUAACAGGAAGCAGCUUGCUGCUUUGCUGACGAGUGGCGGACGGGUGAGUAAUGUCUGGGAAACUGCCUGAUGGAGGGGGAUAACUACUGGAAACGGUGGCUAAUACCGCAUAACGUCGCAAGACCAAAGAGGGGGACCUUCGGGCCUCUUGCCAUCAGAUGUGCCCAGAUGGGAUUAGCUUGUUGGUGAGGUAACGGCUCACCAAGGCGACGAUCCCUAGCUGGUCUGAGAGGAUGACCAGCCACACUGGAACUGAGACACGGUCCAGACUCCUACGGGAGGCAGCAGUGGGGAAUAUUGCACAAUGGGCGCAAGCCUGAUGCAGCCAUGCCGCGUGUAUGAAGAAGGCCUUCGGGUUGUAAAGUACUUUCAGCGGGGAGGAAGGUGUUGUGGUUAAUAACCGCAGCAAUUGACGUUACCCGCAGAAGAAGCACCGGCUAACUCCGUGCCAGCAGCCGCGGUAAUACGGAGGGUGCAAGCGUUAAUCGGAAUUACUGGGCGUAAAGCGCACGCAGGCGGUCUGUCAAGUCGGAUGUGAAAUCCCCGGGCUCAACCUGGGAACUGCAUUCGAAACUGGCAGGCUUGAGUCUUGUAGAGGGGGGUAGAAUUCCAGGUGUAGCGGUGAAAUGCGUAGAGAUCUGGAGGAAUACCGGUGGCGAAGGCGGCCCCCUGGACAAA
This 747-nucleotide ribosomal RNA is filed under the name Salmonella enterica. RNAcentral describes it as "bacterial SSU rRNA". It matches the Rfam family "Bacterial small subunit ribosomal RNA", at positions 1 to 737 of the family's 1533-position model. RNAcentral also lists the same sequence under 1 other name. The record is from RNAcentral. Lineage: Bacteria; Pseudomonadati; Pseudomonadota; Gammaproteobacteria; Enterobacterales; Enterobacteriaceae.